RNAcentral lists this ribosomal RNA (454 nucleotides) under uncultured bacterium. Its description in RNAcentral is "bacterial SSU rRNA". It matches the Rfam family "Bacterial small subunit ribosomal RNA", at positions 340 to 786 of the family's 1533-position model. The record is from RNAcentral.
UACGGGAGGCAGCAGUGGGGAAUAUUGCACAAUGGGCGCAAGCCUGAUGCAGCCAUGCCGCGUGUAUGAAGAAGGCCUUCGGGUUGUAAAGUACUUUCAGUCGUGAGGAAGGUGUUAAGGUUAAUAACCUUAGCAAUUGACGUUAGCGACAGAAGAAGCACCGGCUAACUCCGUGCCAGCAGCCGCGGUAAUACGGAGGGUGCGAGCGUUAAUCGGAAUUACUGGGCGUAAAGGGCACGCAGGCGGUUAAUUAAGUUGGAUGUGAAUCCCCGGGCUUAACCUGGGAAUGGCAUUCAAGACUGGUUAGCUAGAGUCUUGUAGAGGGGGUAGAAUUCCAUGUGUAGCGGUGAAAUGCGUAGAGAUGUGGAGGAAUACCGGUGGCGAAGGCGGCCCCUGGGACAAAGACUGACGCUCAUGUGCGAAAGCGUGGGGAGCGAAACAGGGAUUAGAUACC